UUAAAAUAACACUCUUUGCUGCUUUCUUUAUAAAAUUAUGAGAGUACAAAACAAUAACUUCAAAGUCCACGAAAAUACCAAAAAAAAAAAAAAAAUACAAAUUAUCUGAUGCCAACACAAUAACUAAAUGAUAACUCCGCAGGACGUUUAUGUCCCUCUCUUGAGUCUGAUAUUCAUAGAAUCAGUGAAUCUUUGCAAAAUAUCUACAAACUUCACGAAUACAUAUUUUUCUAACACCAAUCUCUUCUUGACAAUCAUCAUCAGUUUCACAUGGAGAUGGUAGAAAUUGUAUUGUAAUGAAAAAAAGAUAACAAAACAACGUUAUUAAAACAUGAUAAAAGAUCAUGUACGAUCUAUAAAGUAAAUAAUGAAAUUUGAAAUGAUGAAGAAAAAAAAAGGUUCACCGGAUGCUGUUGCGACACGAAACAAGGAAAGAAAUAGAAUCGUGACAUAAACAAAAUUAAUAAUUUCAGUCAUUGCUUUUUCUCUUUGCAUGUAAAAUGUUGAAUAUGAUUUUAUCACUUUAUAGUGUGUAAAUUCCAUACUCACCUAAAAAUAAUUAAGUAGUUUUUAGCAUUGACAAAGUUGUAAAAACUCUAAAAAUUUUGAAUCAUUAUUAAAUGUAUGUUAAGUAUAUCAAUGUGUUGUGUUUGUCCCUUUAGCAUACUUAAUAAGGAAACAUAUGAAUAUAAUGCACCAUUUUUUUUUUAAGAAGGAAUAAUGCACCAUUUGGUUGGGAACAUAUUUA
RNAcentral lists this long non-coding RNA (748 nucleotides) under Medicago truncatula (barrel medic). RNAcentral describes it as "long non-coding RNA (MTRU_LNC003505)". Lineage: Eukaryota; Viridiplantae; Streptophyta; Magnoliopsida; Fabales; Fabaceae. The record is from RNAcentral.